GCCCAACCUCCCACCCUUGUCUCUAUACACCUGUUGCUUUGGCGGGCCCACCGGGGCCACCUGGUCGCCGGGGGACAUCUGUCCCCGGGCCCGCGCCCGCCGAAGCGCUCUGUGAACCCUGAUGAAGAUGGGCUGUCUGAGUACUAUGAAAAUUGUCAAAACUUUCAACAAUGGAUCUCUUGGUUCCGGCAUCGAUGAAGAACGCAGCGAAAUGCGAUAAGUAAUGUGAAUUGCAGAAUUCCGUGAAUCAUCGAAUCUUUGAACGCACAUUGCGCCCCCUGGCAUUCCGGGGGGCAUGCCUGUCCGAGCGUCAUUUCUGCCCUCAAGCACGGCUUGUGUGUUGGGUGCGGUCCCCCCGGGGACCUGCCCGAAAGGCAGCGGCGACGUCCGUCUGGUCCUCGAGCGUAUGGGGCUUUGUCACUCGCUCGGGAAGGACUGGCGGGGGUUGGUCACCACCAAAAUUUUACCACGGUUGACCUCGGAUCAGGUAGGAGUUACCCGCUGAACUUAAGCAUAUCAAUAAGCGGA
Molecule: ribosomal RNA, 528 nt
Filed under: Talaromyces pinophilus
Lineage: Eukaryota; Fungi; Ascomycota; Eurotiomycetes; Eurotiales; Trichocomaceae
Description: eukaryotic LSU rRNA
Rfam family: 5.8S ribosomal RNA (bases 160-313)
Source: RNAcentral